RNAcentral lists this ribosomal RNA (491 nucleotides) under uncultured bacterium. Its description in RNAcentral is "partial 16S ribosomal RNA". It matches the Rfam family "Bacterial small subunit ribosomal RNA", at positions 29 to 506 of the family's 1533-position model. The record is from RNAcentral.
AGUGAACGCUGGCGGUAGGCCUAACACAUGCAAGUCGAACGGCAGCACAGUAAGAGCUUGCUCUUACGGGUGGCGAGUGGCGGACGGGUGAGGAAUACAUCGGAAUCUACUUUUUCGUGGGGGAUAUCGUAGGGAAACUUACGCUAAUACCGCAUACGACCUACGGGUGAAAGCAGGGGAUCUUCGGACCUUGCGCGAUUGAAUGAGCCGAUGUCGGAUUAGCUAGUUGGCGGGGUAAAGGCCCACCAAGGCGACGAUCCGUAGCUGGUCUGAGAGGAUGAUCAGCCACACUGGAACUGAGACACGGUCCAGACUCCUACGGGAGGCAGCAGUGGGGAAUAUUGGACAAUGGGCGCAAGCCUGAUCCAGCCAUACCGCGUGGGUGAAGAAGGCCUUCGGGUUGUAAAGCCCUUUUGUUGGGAAAGAAAAGCAGCAGGUUAAUACCCCGCUGUUCUGACGGUACCCAAAGAAUAAGCACCGGCUAACUUCGU